Molecule: ribosomal RNA, 253 nt
Filed under: uncultured bacterium
Lineage: Bacteria
Description: partial 16S ribosomal RNA
Rfam family: Bacterial small subunit ribosomal RNA
Source: RNAcentral
GACGUAGGGCGCGAGCGUUGUCCGGAUUUAUUGGGCGUAAAGAGCUCGUAGGCGGUUUGUCGCGUCGUCCGUGAAAACUCACAGCUUAACUGUGAGCUUGCGGUCGAUACGGGCAGACUAGAGUGCGGUAGGGGAGAUUGGAAUUCCUGGUGUAGCGGUGGAAUGCGCAGAUAUCAGGAGGAACACCGAUGGCGAAGGCAGAUCUCUGGGCCGUAACUGACGCUGAGGAGCGAAAGCGUGGGGAGCGAACAGG